Long non-coding RNA from Equus caballus (horse), 2848 nucleotides. The record is from Ensembl. Lineage: Eukaryota; Metazoa; Chordata; Mammalia; Perissodactyla; Equidae.
AUUGGAUAAAAAAGCAAGACUCAACUAUAUGCUGCUUACAAGACACAAAGAAGAAAACAAAACAAAGGUUUUGGGCAUGGAACUUUUAAACCCGGUCCAGAGCAUCGCUUUGACAGAGGGCAGGGCCUUCAGAAUAAGAAGUCACAGUGGAAGACACGAACGGAAGUGAGGCGGCAGUCCAGGAAGCCUACAUUUCAGAAGGCAAAGGAACACCCGUGAAUGGGGGAUAAUUUGCCAGAAAUGCUUUUCAAGGCUCCAGGAUGCUGAAAGCUGAAAGCAACCUGGAAUUAUAGUGGAGGUUAGUUCCAAGUUGAUUUCCUGGAGUAAAUUCAUUAAAAGCUAAAAAUUGAGCCCUCACUCACAAUCUGGUAAUGUAAUUUCAAAGAGCAUAGAUUCCUAUCCUGCAGGCUCUGUCCCACUGUUUCACACACAUCUUCAUCUUCCAGACCAAGCCCGCCCGGGGCUUCUGCAUCCGCUUGUAGACAGUCUUCUCAGAUGUGUUGAAUUACCUAUAGUGGUUUCCAGGUGGGGGCAAUUUUGACCCUGAGGGGACAUUUGGCGAUGCCUAGAAAAGUUUUUGGUUGUCACACCUUGAGGGUGCUCCUGGCAUCUAGGGUGGAGGCCAGAUAUGUUACUAAACAUCUUAAAAAGCACAGGACAGCCCCGCACAACAACAAUUAUCUGGCCUAAAACGUAUGCAGUGCCGAGGCGAGAAAGCCUGGUCUACAUCAGUGGUUCUCACUCAAAGCUUUCCCAAGAGUGGUCCGCAACCCGGCAGCCUCAGCACUGGGCAGAUUAGGACGGCAAACUCUCGGGCUCCUUGUCUGACCUAUGGAGCAGAAACCCUGGAGGUGGAGUCCAGCAAUCUGUGUGUUGGACUCGUGGUCCAAGUCGUCUGAAGAGCAGGCAACUGACUGAGAGCAGGAAGCUUGGAAUAUUUAGGAACAAACAGGGAACAGCCUGUUCUCUUUCUUUUUUAAUAGAAAUCAAAUGCGUGACCACGAGCUGAACUUUUCAGCCUUGUUGGCGGAAGUCUGGUCAGGACCCAGCACACCCGCAUCACCUGUGCGCUUCCAGAGCGGACCAGCGAGCAGGCUCACACCUCGUGAUGCAAAAGCCGCUUACAGCAAGAGCCCCGGGUGACUCGCGUGCCUGUGGAGGCGGCGGAGCGCCACUGCAGAGCACGAAGCUUUCCCGUAGAGCCUCGCUUUCUCCCCCGUGGGCGCCCCGCGGAAACCAGCCUGCCCAGCCUUGGAGCAGCCGGUUCUCCAAGUGUGGUCCUGGAACCAGCAGCUCAGCAUCACCAGGGAGCUUGCGAGAGAUGUAGAUCCACGACCACCGCAGACCCGGUGGAUCCCGGUCUGGGGCGGGGCCCGCAGCCUGGGUCUAACAGCCCUGCGGGGUUCUGACGCGAACGUCUGAGAACCUGCGCUUUAGAGACGGUGGGUCUGGACGGCAGACAGAGCUGUGGCCUCCGCGGAUGGUUUAGGGAGCGCCUGCAGACGCCAGCCCUGUGCACACACCGCCGGUACCCUAGAGGGGUUCGACGUGGUUUUAGGGCCAAUUCCUAAUUAGGAGAAUCUGAGUCAAUGUUAUUUCGUUGGUUCUGUGAAUAAUAACAUUUUGGAUUACACGGAAAAUUUAGUUUACAAAGUGCCUGCCAUGGUAUUUAAUUUAAUCCUCACUGUAACACAAGGACGUAGAUGUAAUUGCCUCCCACAGCAGAUGGGACAACUGAGCUUGAGAAAGAUUAAGUGACUUUUUAAAGGGCAUAUUGAAAGGGGCAGGGCCAGUCUUGAAAUCCAAAAGCACAAUUGCAAAGAGAUCUUCUACAAGCCUUUUGAAAAGUUAAGUGGAGGAGGUUUCAAAUGCAGCUGAAAACUCCACGAUGGUUUUCACCUUGUGGGAAACAAAUUUCAGGCACAGAUUAAUGAAGACAGACCCAUAAAACAUAAAAUUCAAAACUCCCUCUCUAAAAGUUCAACAACAAUAACAGAAAUACGAAUACAUAGGGAGAAAGAGAUAAAGCAAAUAAGGCAGAAUGUUAACAUUCGGUGAAUCUAGGUGGAUUUAUAAGUUCUUGUUGCAGAAUUUCUGCCACUUUUCUUUGACAUAAAGUCAACAGGACCUUCAACACUGGUCUGCGUGCUGGCAUAGAUGAGACACUGCACUUCUUACCUACCCUUGGACGUGCUCCUAGAAGCCCUGUCAAAUGGCUGCCCGGGCUACGGGAACCCGUCUCGGCCUGCCCUGCGGGAGGCAGGGGACAAACGUACGAGUAACAAGCAAGGUGCAUUUACGUUGUUUUCCUCUGGCACUGGAGCUUGUCCAUUUAUGAUAAUAUUCUUCACGGUCAAUAGUUCACUGUCAAAAGGGCAAUUCUGGGUUGCAAUUUUUAUUAGUAUGGGUGUGUUCUGUCUAACCCCAGGUGCGAGGCCAGUGUCACACAGAAGUCCUGGGGACCGUUAGAGAAUCCAGCCUUUAACGUGCUGCGGCCCUGGUGCUGAGGUCCCCAAACAGUGGCAGUGACCCCAUCGGGCUACAUCUCAGAGCGUUUCCUAAACUGUGCUGCUUGUCCACCACUUUCCUCAUGUGUCACAGCCAGUGUUUCUGAAAGCCUUUCUGAUUAAAUACUGGAGUGGGAAAAAAUAACUAGAAAGACAUUAUUGAGACAACUGGGGACGUUUGAUUUAGAUAAUAGCGUUUCUGUCAAAAAUGAAUGACUACGCCUCCACAUGCCCCCACCCACUUGUCGGGAGCAGUCCUGCCACACGGGCUCAGGGCCUCUUGACUUCUCCCGUGUGGACAGCAAGGAAAUUAUAGUGAGAGCUAACAACGGCACACCUUU